This 253-nucleotide ribosomal RNA is filed under the name uncultured bacterium. Its description in RNAcentral is "partial 16S ribosomal RNA". It matches the Rfam family "Bacterial small subunit ribosomal RNA", at positions 524 to 776 of the family's 1533-position model. The record is from RNAcentral.
UACGAAGGGGGCUAGCGUUGUUCGGAAUUACUGGGCGUAAAGCGCACGUAGGCGGACUACUAAGUCAGGGGUGAAAUCCCGGGGCUCAACCCCGGAACUGCCUUUGAUACUCAGAGUCUCGAGUCCGGAAGAGGUGAGUGGAAUUCCGAGUGUAGAGGUGAAAUUCGUAGAUAUUCGGAGGAACACCAGUGGCGAAGGCGGCUCACUGGUCCGGUACUGACGCUGAGGUGCGAAAGCGUGGGGAGCAAACAGG